Molecule: ribosomal RNA, 811 nt
Filed under: uncultured Lysobacter sp.
Lineage: Bacteria; Pseudomonadati; Pseudomonadota; Gammaproteobacteria; Lysobacterales; Lysobacteraceae
Description: bacterial SSU rRNA
Rfam family: Bacterial small subunit ribosomal RNA
Source: RNAcentral
CACAUGCAAGUCGAACGGCAGCACAGAGGAGCUUGCUCCUGAGGUGGCGAGUGGCGGACGGGUGAGGAAUACGUCGGAAUCUGCCUAUAUGUGGGGGAUAACGUAAGGAAACUUACGCUAAUACCGCAUACGACCUACGGGUGAAAGUGGGGGACCUUCGGGCCUCACGCAGAUAGAUGAGCCGACGUCGGAUUAGCUAGUAGGCGGGGUAAAGGCCCACCAAGGCGACGAUCCGUAGCUGGUCUGAGAGGAUGAUCAGCCACACUGGAACUGAGACACGGUCCAGACUCCUACGGGAGGCAGCAGUGGGGAAUAUUGGACAAUGGGCGCAAGCCUGAUCCAGCCAUGCCGCGUGUGUGAAGAAGGCCUUCGGGUUGUAAAGCACUUUUGUCCGGAAAGAAAAGCUUAGGGUUAAUAACCCUGAGUCAUGACGGUACCGGAAGAAUAAGCACCGGCUAACUUCGUGCCAGCAGCCGCGGUAAUACGAAGGGUGCAAGCGUUACUCGGAAUUACUGGGCGUAAAGCGUGCGUAGGUGGUUUGUUAAGUCUGAUGUGAAAGCCCUGGGCUCAACCUGGGAAUGGCAUUGGAAACUGGCUUACUAGAGUGCGGUAGAGGGUAGUGGAAUUCCCGGUGUAGCAGUGAAAUGCGUAGAUAUCGGGAGGAACAUCUGUGGCGAAGGCGACUACCUGGACCAGCACUGACACUGAGGCACGAAAGCGUGGGGAGCAAACAGGAUUAGAUACCCCUGGUAGUCCACGCCCUAAACGAUGCGAACUGGAUGUUGGGGGCAACUUGGCCCUCAGUAUCGAA